GACGAACGCUGGCGGCGUGCUUAACACAUGCAAGUCGAACGGAAAGGCCCUGCUUUUGUGGGGUGCUCGAGUGGCGAACGGGUGAGUAACACGUGAGUAACCUGCCCUUGACUUUGGGAUAACUUCAGGAAACUGGGGCUAAUACCGGAUAGGAGCUCCUGCUGCAUGGUGGGGGUUGGAAAGUUUCGGCGGUUGGGGAUGGACUCGCGGCUUAUCAGCUUGUUGGUGGGGGAGUGGCUUACCAAGGCUUUGACGGGUAGCCGGCCUGGGAGGGUGACCGGCCACAUUGGGACUGAGAUACGGCCCAGAGUCCUACGGGAGGCAGCAGUGGGGAAUAUUGCACAAUGGGCGGAAGCCUGAUGCAGAAACGCCGCGUGCGGGAUGACGGCCUUCGGGUUGUAAACCGCUUUCGCCUGUGACGCAGCGUGAGUGACGGUAAUGGGUAAAGAAGCACCGGCUAACUACGUG
Molecule: ribosomal RNA, 468 nt
Filed under: uncultured bacterium
Lineage: Bacteria
Description: partial 16S ribosomal RNA
Rfam family: Bacterial small subunit ribosomal RNA
Source: RNAcentral